ACAAACUUGGUCAUUUAGAGGAAGUAAAAGUCGUAACAAGGUUUCCGUAGGUGAACCUGCGGAAGGAUCAUCAAUAAAUCCAAUUUAUUCACCCUUGUGAACUGUGUGCUGGACUCGUCGCGUUCGCGCGUGGGUCUUUGGGCGCGUUGUGGCCGUGGAGUCGUUAGUUUUCUAAUGUCUCGUUGGCCUGCGUCUAGCAAAAACUCCUUAAUUAAAACAAGCUAAUGCAAUUUCUAUAAAUGAAACAACUUUCAACAAUGGAUCUCUUGGCUCUCGCAUCGAUGAAGAACGCAGC
RNAcentral lists this unclassified non-coding RNA (295 nucleotides) under uncultured fungus. RNAcentral's name for it is "partial contains small subunit ribosomal RNA, internal transcribed spacer 1, and 5.8S ribosomal RNA". The stretch from base 1 to 73 matches the Rfam family "Eukaryotic small subunit ribosomal RNA", at positions 1759 to 1831 of the family's 1831-position model. The record is from RNAcentral. Lineage: Eukaryota; Fungi.